RNAcentral lists this ribosomal RNA (468 nucleotides) under uncultured bacterium. RNAcentral describes it as "partial 16S ribosomal RNA". It matches the Rfam family "Bacterial small subunit ribosomal RNA", at positions 28 to 507 of the family's 1533-position model. The record is from RNAcentral.
GACGAACGCUGGCGGCGUGCUUAACACAUGCAAGUCGAACGGAAAGGCCCUGCUUUUGUGGGGUGCUCGAGUGGCGAACGGGUGAGUAACACGUGAGUAACCUGCCCUUGACUUUGGGAUAACUUCAGGAAACUGGGGCUCAUACAGGAUAGGAGCUCCUGCUGCAUGGUGGGGGUUGGAAAGUUUCGGCGGUUGGGGAUGGACUCGCGGCUUAUCCGCUUGUUGGUGGGGUAGUGGCUGACCAAGGCUUUGACGGGUAGCCGGCCUGAGAGGGUGACCGGCCACAUUGGGACUGAGAUACGGCCCAGACUCGUACGGGAGGCAGCAGUGGGGAAUAUGGCACAACGGGCGGAAGCCUGAUGCAGCAACGCCGCGUGCGGGAUGACGGCCUUCGGGUUGUAAACCGCUGUCGCCUGUGACGAAGCGUGAGUGACGGUAAUGGGUAAAGAAGCACCGGCUAACUACGUG